Molecule: unclassified non-coding RNA, 688 nt
Filed under: Hevea brasiliensis (rubber tree)
Lineage: Eukaryota; Viridiplantae; Streptophyta; Magnoliopsida; Malpighiales; Euphorbiaceae
Source: RNAcentral
GAAAAAAAGAAAAAAUUUGCUGAACUUUUUUUUUUUGCUUUUUAAAACUUAACCGUUUUGAAAACCAUUUUUAACUUUAAAAUUGAAUAAGCAUUUUAAAACAAGAAACAACUUUAUUUUUGGAUUAUCUUACAAUGCCUUUUCUCUCAAUUAUUCCUGCUGGCGCUUCUUUCCCUGUGAAAUUUUCAAAUUUACCAUAAGUUUACUAAUUCUGAACUUAAUUUUUUAUGCUGCUCUCUCACUUUUCCUUGCUGAUACGAUUAAUUUUGCUGAAAAUACACUCAUAACAACCAGGUAAUCACUAAGAUGAACAAUCUCACCUUAAAAAAAACGUAAUUUCUCUCUUAUAACUCUUUGUUUUAUCCUAUCUUAAAAUGGCUGUUUUGGCUUUUGAUUCCAAUGGCUGCUGGUGUUUUGUCUCUUGGAGAAUGGUUGUAAAUUUAUGGUUUGAUUUGACUGGGGAGAGUCUUUCAUUUCUGUUGCUGUUAUCAUAGAGAGAGAAUGGGAAUUGAAAUGUAAAAUUAGCAUAUUGGUUAUCCACCAGUGAAGAUCCCCAAAUGAUUAAAUGAAAAGAUAUUAAUUUUGGGAGAUAGUUUGUUCCAUGAGUAAAGAGAUACAGGAGCUUUCCUUUUAUCCUUUUUUUCCCUGAUAUUUAUUAUAUUACUAAAAGGAGAGAGAGAGAGAGAGA